This is a long non-coding RNA of Oreochromis aureus, 1017 nucleotides long. The record is from Ensembl. NCBI's taxonomy places the organism in Eukaryota, Metazoa, Chordata, Actinopteri, Cichliformes, Cichlidae.
ACUCAGGUUAAAGAAACCCCAGCAGCUGUCUAUAGUAUUGAGUGUCCACUAGAAUAGAAAUAAAAGCGUUCUAACAUCUCACCUGCUUGUUUUUAUUAAGUUCCUCGUCGCGUCGUCUGUGUUCAUCACUCAGUGUCACCCUGCCUACUCUGCAUUGCUCUGUGUUCCUCCUCUGUGUCACCCUGCGUGCUCUCCCUGCUGUCCUCCCUCCAUGCUCAGUGGCCAGUGCGAAGUUGUGCUGCAGAUCCCAGUAUGAAAGCUGAGGGUCCAGUCAGCCGGCAGAAAGGCCAGUUGAUGCCUCGACGUGCGUUGGAACCGGUUUUGCCCGCACAGAGCGUUUCUGACAUGCUGACGUUGCUUAUGCAUAAGAGAAAAGCAACAGUACAGAGUGCUUCUCUGCCCCAGGACAUCCUUUCACACGGAGAAAGGUGAUGGCAGGAGCUUUUUUAAAUGCAUUUCGAAUCAACUUUUUUUUGUUUGUUUUACAAGAAGUGUAUUUCAUACAUUGGAACAAAUGUAAUCUUUUCUAUACUUUAUAACUAUGAAACUCUAAAGAUUUUAAGUUCAUGCACAUUGUGAAACAAGAAUCUAAAUCUUUCUGUCACAAUGAUUUCUAUAAACGCAUGAUGUUUAUGGGGAUAAUGUGAAAAAUCUUUUGUGGGCUCUAAUAAUGAUCAGUGGUGAUUGAAGAGGAAGCUUGAACCCCGGCUCUGGAGAUUUUCAUGACAAGUGACAGUGCAGACAUUUGUUAAUGAGAGAAUAUGUUUUAUCAUCAUAACGACUGGGAAUUUAAGCGAGAAAGAAGUGUUUACUCAUGUUUUUUAAUAGAAGACUUAAAACACUAAACUCUAAUUUCUGGGGUUUAUUUUAAGUUUACAGAAUAUAACAUCUUGUAUGACAAUGAGUUUUACUUCUCACUGUCUGUGUUAUGUGUAUCCAUUUAUCAUGUAUGCUACUUUGCUCUGUGGACUAAAAUGUUUCAUUGUAUUCAUGAAAUAAACCAGAAUUUCAAUGUCC